Molecule: RNase P RNA, 354 nt
Filed under: Desulfobulbaceae bacterium BRH_c16a
Lineage: Bacteria; Pseudomonadati; Thermodesulfobacteriota; Desulfobulbia; Desulfobulbales; Desulfobulbaceae
Description: bacterial RNase P
Rfam family: Bacterial RNase P class A
About the family: Ribonuclease P (RNase P) is a ubiquitous endoribonuclease, found in archaea, bacteria and eukarya as well as chloroplasts and mitochondria. Its best characterised activity is the generation of mature 5'-ends of tRNAs by cleaving the 5'-leader elements of precursor-tRNAs.
Source: RNAcentral
CGGAGCGGGCGCACGAUCGCUCCGGUUUUUACCGGAGAGGAAAGUCCGAACUCUGCAGGGCAGGGUGGUUCGUAACACGAACGCCGGGCGACCGGGGGAAAGUGCCACAGAAAACAAACCGCCUGAUUCGAUCAGGUAAGGGUGAAACGGCGAGGUAAGAGCUCACCGCUUCCAUGGUGACAUGGAAGGCACGGCAAACCCCACCCAGAGCAAGACCAAAUAGGGAGAUGUUUGAGGGCGGCCCGUCCGAGAUCUCCGGGUAGGUUGCAAGAGGUGUUGAGCGAUCAACAUCCCAGUUAAAUGAUCGUGGCCCCUUAGGGGGUACAGAAUUCGGCUUAUAGCCCGCUCCAAUUU